UUGGAGAGAUGAUGUCUUCAUAAGAUUUUCUCUUUUAAGAAAAAUCUGUUUUUUGGUUACAGUGGAAAUACUUUGUCUUUAUAAAAGAAGACAGACUGCAUAUAGUUUUUUUCAAAUUUUUAUAAAUAGAACUGCAUGUGAUUUCAGAAUGCUCAGAGAGUUUCCAAAAAUCCCUUUGUAUUCACAAGAGAUUAAUGACAGAUUUAGUAACCAUUCUUUUUAUUCCUAUUGCAGCUGAGGGUGUAGGUUCUAUCCCAUUCUGCUGGAACUACAUAGAAAGUGCAUGCACAAAUAAGUGAAGAUGAGUUUAAAAGACAAAAAACCCAAACAAUUAAUAAAACAGUUGUAAGGAGCUCCUCGCUUGGGGGACCUAAGAAUGAUAAGGAGAAAGUGUUAGAAAGCUUGCUUAAACAACAGAACACCCAACCAUGAAACAAAGCAGAAUGUCAUUAGCAGCAUGUAGGUGGAACCUGACGUCAAUAUUUCAGACUAUUAUAAGAAAUUAUAAUUAGGGUUUUACAGUCUGCAAAGUGCUUCAGCUCUCUGCUGUAGUGAGGGAAAGAUUUCUGAAGGUCGUCAAGUAAUACAGCUGUGCUCAAGCCAAGAGAUGGAGGCUCUAGGACAGAGACUACAGACUACAAG
Long non-coding RNA from Ficedula albicollis (Collared flycatcher), 642 nucleotides. RefSeq lists it as uncharacterized. The record is from RefSeq and is a predicted model, not a curated record. The transcript has 3 exons. NCBI's taxonomy places the organism in Eukaryota, Metazoa, Chordata, Aves, Passeriformes, Muscicapidae.